RNAcentral lists this ribosomal RNA (2900 nucleotides) under Klebsiella pneumoniae. Its description in RNAcentral is "bacterial LSU rRNA". It matches the Rfam family "Bacterial large subunit ribosomal RNA". Lineage: Bacteria; Pseudomonadati; Pseudomonadota; Gammaproteobacteria; Enterobacterales; Enterobacteriaceae. The record is from RNAcentral.
UUAAGCGACUAAGCGUACACGGUGGAUGCCCUGGCAGUCAGAGGCGAUGAAGGACGUGCUAAUCUGCGAAAAGCGUCGGUAAGGUGAUAUGAACCGUUAUAACCGGCGAUGUCCGAAUGGGGAAACCCAGUGCAAUUCGUUGCACUAUCGUUAACUGAAUACAUAGGUUAACGAGGCGAACCGGGGGAACUGAAACAUCUAAGUACCCCGAGGAAAAGAAAUCAACCGAGAUUCCCCCAGUAGCGGCGAGCGAACGGGGAGCAGCCCAGAGUCUGAAUCAGCUUGUGUGUUAGUGGAACGGUCUGGAAAGUCCGACGGUACAGGGUGAUAGUCCCGUACACCAAAAUGCACAGGUUGUGAACUCGAAGAGUAGGGCGGGACACGUGGUAUCCUGUCUGAAUAUGGGGGGACCAUCCUCCAAGGCUAAAUACUCCUGACUGACCGAUAGUGAACCAGUACCGUGAGGGAAAGGCGAAAAGAACCCCGGCGAGGGGAGUGAAAAAGAACCUGAAACCGUGUACGUACAAGCAGUGGGAGCACCUUCGGGUGUGACUGCGUACCUUUUGUAUAAUGGGUCAGCGACUUAUAUUCUGUAGCAAGGUUAACCGUAUAGGGGAGCCGCAGGGAAACCGAGUCUUAACUGGGCGUUAAGUUGCAGGGUAUAGACCCGAAACCCGGUGAUCUAGCCAUGGGCAGGUUGAAGGUUGGGUAACACUAACUGGAGGACCGAACCGACUAAUGUUGAAAAAUUAGCGGAUGACUUGUGGCUGGGGGUGAAAGGCCAAUCAAACCGGGAGAUAGCUGGUUCUCCCCGAAAGCUAUUUAGGUAGCGCCUCGUGAAUUCAUCUUCGGGGGUAGAGCACUGUUUCGGCUAGGGGGUCAUCCCGACUUACCAACCCGAUGCAAACUACGAAUACCGAAGAAUGUUAUCACGGGAGACACACGGCGGGUGCUAACGUCCGUCGUGAAGAGGGAAACAACCCAGACCGCCAGCUAAGGUCCCAAAGUCAUGGUUAAGUGGGAAACGAUGUGGGAAGGCACAGACAGCCAGGAUGUUGGCUUAGAAGCAGCCAUCAUUUAAAGAAAGCGUAAUAGCUCACUGGUCGAGUCGGCCUGCGCGGAAGAUGUAACGGGGCUAAACCAUGCACCGAAGCUGCGGCAGCGACACUAUGUGUUGUUGGGUAGGGGAGCGUUCUGUAAGCCUGCGAAGGUGACCUGUGAGGGUUGCUGGAGGUAUCAGAAGUGCGAAUGCUGACAUAAGUAACGAUAAAGCGGGUGAAAAGCCCGCUCGCCGGAAGACCAAGGGUUCCUGUCCAACGUUAAUCGGGGCAGGGUGAGUCGACCCCUAAGGCGAGGCCGAAAGGCGUAGUCGAUGGGAAACAGGUUAAUAUUCCUGUACUUGGUGUUACUGCGAAGGGGGGACGGAGAAGGCUAUGUUAGCCGGGCGACGGUUGUCCCGGUUUAAGCAUGUAGGCUGAUUGUCCAGGCAAAUCCGGAUAAUCAAGGCUGAGGUGUGAUGACGAGGCACUACGGUGCUGAAGUAACAAAUGCCCUGCUUCCAGGAAAAGCCUCUAAGCAUCAGGUAACAUCAAAUCGUACCCCAAACCGACACAGGUGGUCAGGUAGAGAAUACCAAGGCGCUUGAGAGAACUCGGGUGAAGGAACUAGGCAAAAUGGUGCCGUAACUUCGGGAGAAGGCACGCUGGUGUGUAGGUGAAGUCCCUGCGGAUGGAGCUGAGACCAGUCGAAGAUACCAGCUGGCUGCAACUGUUUAUUAAAAACACAGCACUGUGCAAACACGAAAGUGGACGUAUACGGUGUGACGCCUGCCCGGUGCCGGAAGGUUAAUUGAUGGGGUUAUCCGUAAGGAGAAGCUCUUGAUCGAAGCCCCGGUAAACGGCGGCCGUAACUAUAACGGUCCUAAGGUAGCGAAAUUCCUUGUCGGGUAAGUUCCGACCUGCACGAAUGGCGUAAUGAUGGCCAGGCUGUCUCCACCCGAGACUCAGUGAAAUUGAACUCGCUGUGAAGAUGCAGUGUACCCGCGGCAAGACGGAAAGACCCCGUGAACCUUUACUAUAGCUUGACACUGAACAUUGAGCCUUGAUGUGUAGGAUAGGUGGGAGGCUUUGAAGCGUGGACGCCAGUCUGCGUGGAGCCAACCUUGAAAUACCACCCUUUAAUGUUUGAUGUUCUAACGUUGGCCCCUGACCGGGGUUGCGGACAGUGUCUGGUGGGUAGUUUGACUGGGGCGGUCUCCUCCCAAAGCGUAACGGAGGAGCACGAAGGUUAGCUAAUCCUGGUCGGACAUCAGGAGGUUAGUGCAAUGGCAUAAGCUAGCUUGACUGCGAGCGUGACGGCGCGAGCAGGUGCGAAAGCAGGUCAUAGUGAUCCGGUGGUUCUGAAUGGAAGGGCCAUCGCUCAACGGAUAAAAGGUACUCCGGGGAUAACAGGCUGAUACCGCCCAAGAGUUCAUAUCGACGGCGGUGUUUGGCACCUCGAUGUCGGCUCAUCACAUCCUGGGGCUGAAGUAGGUCCCAAGGGUAUGGCUGUUCGCCAUUUAAAGUGGUACGCGAGCUGGGUUUAGAACGUCGUGAGACAGUUCGGUCCCUAUCUGCCGUGGGCGCUGGAGAAUUGAGGGGGGCUGCUCCUAGUACGAGAGGACCGGAGUGGACGCAUCACUGGUGUUCGGGUUGUCAUGCCAAUGGCACUGCCCGGUAGCUAAAUGCGGAAGAGAUAAGUGCUGAAAGCAUCUAAGCACGAAACUUGCCCCGAGAUGAGUUCUCCCUGAGACUAUAAGUCUCCUGAAGGAACGUUAAAGACGAUGACGUUGAUAGGCCGGGUGUGUAAGCGCAGCGAUGCGUUGAGCUAACCGGUACUAAUGAACCGUGAGGCUUAACCUU